This is a long non-coding RNA of Hirundo rustica (Barn swallow), 611 nucleotides long. RefSeq lists it as uncharacterized. The transcript has 5 exons. NCBI's taxonomy places the organism in Eukaryota, Metazoa, Chordata, Aves, Passeriformes, Hirundinidae. The record is from RefSeq and is a predicted model, not a curated record.
CUUUUUCUGUACAUCUUGAGUGGGAAUCUGCCUCUCAGGCAGCAGCACAGAUGGAGGGGUACACACUGUCCAAGUCAGUGUCCUUCACAGGUUGAUCCCAAAUCCUCUCUCCCUACCACCACUCUAAGUCUAAAUGCAGGUCAAACUUUAUUAUCUGUCUUCACCAUAUUCUGCCCUCCACCUUUUCUAAAAACUGGAUGUUUUUAAGUAGACAACAUUUGAGGUUUCCGGCAGUACAGAAAAGCCACACACUAUACAGCUCUAAAAUCCAAGAAUUUAUACCUCCAUUUUGUGUAACCUCUGGAGAACACUUGAGUUGAAAAAAUGAAGAAAAAUAUAUCUCUUUUUCUCCACCUUUGUGCUUUUCAGACUCCCAUUGAAAUCCCAUUGAAAACAGUGACUUGACUUUGUUCACAUCAUCUAUGGAAUAAUCCCUCUGCUUAGGUUUAGAAACUAAACCUGGUCAUGUUGAAUAUUAUUCUGGUAAAAAUCUAUGGGAAACAUUGGAAUUGUCAUGGAAACAUUUCUAGUAAGAGCAGAAUCAUCUACCCUGUGACCCUUUUGAAGGCAGCUAUAAGGACAUGCUUUUCCUAAAUAUAUAUUACUGGGGC